GUUGCUUUGGUGCCAUGUAUGCUAAAACUGGAACAACAUAGAAAAGAUUAAUAUGACCCAUGCACAAGAAUGACAUGUGAAUUCCUGAAGUGUUUCACAUUUUA
Small nuclear RNA from Cynocephalus volans (Philippine flying lemur), 104 nucleotides. The record is from RefSeq and is a predicted model, not a curated record. NCBI's taxonomy places the organism in Eukaryota, Metazoa, Chordata, Mammalia, Dermoptera, Cynocephalidae.